GGUCGCGUAACUCAGUUGGUUAGAGUGUCGUACUAAUAUUGCCAUCCUUGGGAAUACAUUCAGUAAUGCGAAAGCCGAGAGUUCAAGCCUCUCCGUGACCA
Molecule: non-coding RNA, 101 nt
Organism: Diatrype stigma
Lineage: Eukaryota; Fungi; Ascomycota; Sordariomycetes; Xylariales; Diatrypaceae
Source: the annotation of a GenBank genome assembly